CCCACAGAGGUGAAUAAACCUCCCAGGCUCCAUCACAGGAAUCAGACUGGGAACUGGGCUGGUCUUUGCAGGAUGAAGCUCUCUAUCAGAAUGGCUAGGACUCCAAGGAGGAAAGAUUUCCAUGGCACAGGGAAACACUGAAACCCUGCAAUGGGGAAACUGCGUCAUUUUCCACAUCAGAGUAAAGUUCAGACUUCAGAACGAUUUCAUCAAAGUCGGAUUCAGGAAUCUGCGCAAAGCCACAGGAACGAGAUAAACUGGGGAGAGGCUUUUGGCUUCCAAGAUCAAAGACAAACCUGAAGGAUUCAAGGCCGGAGCCAGAGAGGGCGGUGUUAGACUGCCCACUGUGUUCCUAUCCCUGCCUCAUCCCUGCAGCAGGAGAACGCUCUUCCCCAGGAUCCUGGGCUGACUGUGGACGAGCAUGAAAGCAGGGUUUCGACUAACAGCUCUCACCAACUAUCACCAACACGGAUGAAUUAAGACUCCAGGUGGGCACAUUGACAUUUUCUAGACAUAAAAGUUGGAGCUAGAUAGAUGAAUGCCCUGUCCCAAGAUACCAGAAAGCAAAACUAUGAAGAAUGGAAAGGUUGAGAAGUCUCUCUGCCUGGAAACAGGGGAAGCGAUGAGGAUACGCACGACCAGCAGUUUGGGUAGGAGGAACACUGAUGUCGGAGCUGGGCCAUACAAAUCCUGUCUUUGGAGGCAAGUGACUGAACUUCUCUGAGCCUUGGUUUUGUUGGGUGUAAAAUGGGAAGAUAAUGGCUGCAUUGGGGAGGUUUGUGAGGACCGAUUAGAUAACAAACGUGAAGCCCUGAUGCAGUGCUGGAGGGUCAGAAGCCCAAGAGGAAACGUUACCCACCACAGGUGGUUCAGUUGAAGUGAGCACAUUGAAGGGGCUGUUUAGAUGAGUGGGGGUGCGGCUAAAGGAACAGGCAAGGUAUCCGGGUCUGGCCAGGCCUGUGGGGCUGAAGGAACCUCGGGAGAAGAGUGUGACCAGAAGCCAGUGACCGUUAGUGCCAUGUAGGAAGGACCACUAGCUGGAGUCCUGGUUGUAGCUACUGCUGGUGACACAACACCAAAGAAAGAGGAAGAGAAAAAUGAAGGUUCCCUCCCCAUCAAGCCGCAGCCCUCCAGUCUCCUGCCGUUGCCUCCAAGGGCCAAGCCCAACCAGAAGCCAGUGACAAGGGGCUCUGAGUGAUACAGCCCGGAAGGAGGUCCAGCCCAUGGUAGGCAAACACUCAAAGGGACUCCAGGGGAUUCUGGCCAAGGAAUCCAGAAACAAAGAAUCCGCCUGCCAAUGGGGUUCAGUUUCUGACCUGGGAUGAUCCCAGACGCCCACAGAGCAACAGAGCCCGGGAACCACAACUACCGACGCCCACGUGCCCUAGAGCCUGUGCUCCGCAAGGAGAGGAGCCACUGCAAAGAGAAGCAGCCCACACUGCAGCCAGAG
This is a long non-coding RNA of Budorcas taxicolor (takin), 1450 nucleotides long. RefSeq lists it as uncharacterized. The transcript is spliced from 3 exons. Lineage: Eukaryota; Metazoa; Chordata; Mammalia; Artiodactyla; Bovidae. The record is from RefSeq and is a predicted model, not a curated record.